This 73-nucleotide transfer RNA is filed under the name Candidatus Taylorbacteria bacterium RIFCSPLOWO2_02_FULL_44_35. RNAcentral describes it as "tRNA-Lys". It matches the Rfam family "tRNA". From Rfam's summary of the family: Transfer RNA (tRNA) molecules are approximately 80 nucleotides in length. The record is from RNAcentral. Lineage: Bacteria; Candidatus Tayloriibacteriota.
CCGCCCAUAGCUCAGCUGGUAGAGCAUCCGCCUCUUAAGCGGGUUGUCGUAGGUUCGAAUCCUACUGGGCGGA